GGGCUUGACAUCCCACGAACCUGCCUGAAAGGGCGGGGUGCCCGCAAGGGAGCGUGGAGACAGGUGGUGCAUGGCUGUCGUCAGCUCGUGUCGUGAGAUGUUGGGUUAAGUCCCGCAACGAGCGCAACCCUCACCCCUGGUUGCCACCGGGUAAUGCCGAGCACUCGAGGGGAACUGCCAGCGUCAAGCUGGAGGAAGGCGGGGAUGACGUCAAGUCAUCAUGCCCCUUACGCCCUGGGCUACACACGUGCUACAAUGGCCGGUACAAAGGGACGCAAGACCGCGAGGUGGAGCUAAUCCCAAAAAGCCGGUCUAAGUUCAGAUUGCAGUCUGCAACUCGACUGCAUGAAGGAGGAAUCGCUAGUAAUCGCGCAUCAGCCCGGCGCGGUGAAUACGUUCCCGGGCCUUGUACACACCGCCCGUCACACCACGAAAGCUGUCUGUACUCGAAGUCGCUGAG
This 460-nucleotide ribosomal RNA is filed under the name uncultured Methylomirabilota bacterium. RNAcentral's name for it is "bacterial SSU rRNA". It matches the Rfam family "Bacterial small subunit ribosomal RNA", at positions 977 to 1434 of the family's 1533-position model. Lineage: Bacteria; Methylomirabilota (SeqCode). The record is from RNAcentral.